RNAcentral lists this ribosomal RNA (456 nucleotides) under uncultured bacterium. RNAcentral's name for it is "bacterial SSU rRNA". It matches the Rfam family "Bacterial small subunit ribosomal RNA", at positions 340 to 786 of the family's 1533-position model. The record is from RNAcentral.
UACGGGAGGCAGCAGUGGGGAAUAUUGCACAAUGGGCGAAAGCCUGAUGCAGCUAUGCCGCGUGUAUGAAGAAGGCCUUAGGGUUGUAAAGUACUUUCAUCGGGGAGGAAAAACAAAACUAAUAAUUUUAUUUCUUGACGUUACCCGAAAAAGAAGCACCGGCUAACUCCGUGCCAGCAGCCGCGGUAAUACGGAGGGUGCUAGCGUUAAUCAGAAUUACUGGGCGUAAAGAGCACGUAGGUGGUUUUUUUAAAGUCAGAUGUGAAAUCCCUGGGCUUAACCUAGGAACUGCAUUUUGAAACUGAAAUACUAGAGUAUCGUAGAGGGAGGUAGAAUUCUAGGUGUAGCGGUGAAAUGCGUAGAUAUCUGGAGGAAUACCUGUGGCGAAAGCGGCCUCCUAAACGAAUACUGACACUGAGGUGCGAAAGCGCGGGGAGCAAACAGGGAUUAGAUACC